GGAAUUGUGGCUCAGUGGCAGAGCACUUGCCUUGUUAAGCAUGAGGCACUGGGUUCGAUCCUCAGCACCA
This 70-nucleotide transfer RNA is filed under the name Ictidomys tridecemlineatus (thirteen-lined ground squirrel). RNAcentral's name for it is "Spermophilus tridecemlineatus (thirteen-lined ground squirrel) tRNA". It matches the Rfam family "tRNA". Rfam says of the family: Transfer RNA (tRNA) molecules are approximately 80 nucleotides in length. The record is from Rfam by way of RNAcentral. Lineage: Eukaryota; Metazoa; Chordata; Mammalia; Rodentia; Sciuridae.